Molecule: long non-coding RNA, 1051 nt
Organism: Columba livia (rock pigeon)
Lineage: Eukaryota; Metazoa; Chordata; Aves; Columbiformes; Columbidae
Exons: 3
Source: RefSeq, a predicted model, not a curated record
GCUGUUUCCUGUGGGGUGAAGGGGCCCUGCAGCCAGAUUCAGCCACACAGGACGUCAAGCUGUUGUGCCACCGUAAAACAAUCCAGACUGGGACACAAGCAUUUUCUGCAUCAGGGAGAUUUGGCCUCCAGUAUAAAGGGGUCAUCAGAAAUAAGCUGUACAAUUCCACUUGACAUGGUUACUUGGGCAGAGGAUGAUCAGCACAACACAAAAUAUCUCCAAGAACAUCAAUAGUUAGACUAAAUCAACUUUUUCUCGGUGGCAGAAGUAAUGAAUUAAUUUCACACCAUUCAUGCAGUCUCUAUCGGCAAAAUUCCUGCUACAGACAUUUACCACAUACAAACAACAGCAGCCACAGACAUUUUCUUCCCUUGUGAGUCUCCAGGUACUGUUUCUUACCACAUAGAACCUCCACCCAUCACUUGGGGCAGGCUUUUUUUUUUAAUUCAGAUACACACCAUCAGGGAAUAUAACACCAAUUACUGAUAAAGAGCUUCCUUCUGGAUGAUCACAGCACCGGAUAAGCACCUGACAGCUCCACUGCAGUGUCUUUGUAGUUACACUGUUCUCAUACAGAGAUCACAGUUUCCUGAAUGACUGUAGAGUCUUCAACAAUAGUUGGAGAUACAAGAUUGAAUACAAGCAACAGCCAAAAUGGGAGGCCACGAAACACCAGCUUCCCCAGUUUCCAGGUUUGUCUCUUUUUGAAAGAAAAUUAUGUGGCUAGUAAUCCCAUCCAUCCUUUGAGACCUUCACUAUUUUCUCAUACUUACCUGCUUCCAGCUGAUUUGACAACUUGCCUAAUUUAUGAGACAGUUGCAUCAGUGUUUCUUCUCUUUCCAUUUUAGUGAUUCAGCAAACUCACCUCAAUGCUCCUGUCAAAUGUCCUUAAGGAUCCAAACUCAGAAUGUGAGGUUGCUUUUCAUUGGUGUUACUCAAAGCUGUGUCAUGGGAUAACAUUACUGACUGCCAUAUUCAGGCAUGAGAAGCAAAACCACAGAAAGGAAUGUAUACUUACCAAUAUAAUCACUGAACAACAGAAUUUGGACUA